GUGGGGAAUAUUGCGCAAUGGGGGAAACCCUGACGCAGCGACGCCGUGUGAGGGAAGAAGGCUUUCGGGUCGUAAACCUCUGUCAGAAAGGAAGAACCUCCCAAGUCCGAAUAGGGCUUGGGACUGACGGUACUUUCAAAGGAAGCACCGGCUAACUCCGUGCCAGCAGCCGCGGUAAUACGGAGGGUGCAAGCGUUAAUCGGAAUCACUGGGCGUAAAGCGCGCGUAGGCCGCUUUGUAAGUCGGACGUGAAAGCCCUCGGCUCAACCGGGGAACUGCGUUCGAUAAUGCGAGGCUUGAGUCCUGGAGAGGGUGGCGGAAUUCCGGGUGUAGGAGUGAAAUCCGUAGAUAUCCGGAGGAACACCGGUGGCGAAGGCGGCCACCUGGACAGGUACUGACGCUGAGGCGCGAAAGCGUGGGGAGCAAACAGGAUUAGAAACCCGAGUAGUCC
Molecule: ribosomal RNA, 451 nt
Filed under: uncultured bacterium
Lineage: Bacteria
Description: partial 16S ribosomal RNA
Rfam family: Bacterial small subunit ribosomal RNA
Source: RNAcentral